Molecule: transfer RNA, 86 nt
Filed under: Candidatus Parcubacteria bacterium
Lineage: Bacteria; Candidatus Parcubacteria
Description: tRNA-Leu
Rfam family: tRNA
About the family: Transfer RNA (tRNA) molecules are approximately 80 nucleotides in length. Their secondary structure includes four short double-helical elements and three loops (D, anti-codon, and T loops). Further hydrogen bonds mediate the characteristic L-shaped molecular structure. tRNAs have two regions of fundamental functional importance: the anti-codon, which is responsible for specific mRNA codon recognition, and the 3' end, to which the tRNAs corresponding amino acid is attached (by aminoacyl-tRNA synthetases). tRNAs cope with the degeneracy of the genetic code in two manners: having more than one tRNA (with a specific anti-codon) for a particular amino acid; and 'wobble' base-pairing, i.e. permitting non-standard base-pairing at the 3rd anti-codon position.
Source: RNAcentral
GCUGGGGUGCUGGAAUUGGUAGACAGCCAUGGCUUAGGACCAUGGGCUCCUUUUGGAGCAUGUGGGUUCGAGUCCCACCCCCAGCA